RNAcentral lists this ribosomal RNA (552 nucleotides) under Clostridioides difficile. RNAcentral's name for it is "bacterial LSU rRNA". It matches the Rfam family "Bacterial large subunit ribosomal RNA", at positions 1 to 556 of the family's 2925-position model. Lineage: Bacteria; Bacillati; Bacillota; Clostridia; Peptostreptococcales; Peptostreptococcaceae. The record is from RNAcentral.
UGGUCAAGUUAUUAAGGGUGCAGGGCGGAUGCCUUGGCACUAGGAGCCGAUGAAGGACGUGAUAAGCUGCGAUAAGCUUCGGGGAGUUGCACGUAAACUUUGAUCCGAAGAUUUCCGAAUGAGGAAACUCACUUAGAGUAAUGUCUAAGUAUCAUUAAGUGAAUACAUAGCUUAAUGAGGGGAACUCAGGGAACUGAAACAUCUAAGUACCUGAAGGAAGAGAAAGAAAUUCGAUUCCGUAAGUAGCGGCGAGCGAACGCGGAUUAGCCCAAACCAAUAAAGUUUUCUUUAUUGGGGUUGCGGACAUAUCAUAACGAAGAGGUAUCGUAAUUGAAGAGGUUUGGAAAGACCCACCACAGAAGGUAAUAGUCCUGUAUGUUAAACGAGAAGACUUCAGAUAUGAUCCAGAGUACCACGGGACACGUGAAACCCUGUGGGAAGCAGGAGGGACCACCCUCCAAGGCUAAAUACUACCUAGUGACCGAUAGCGUAUAGUACCGUGAGGGAAAGGUGAAAAGAACCCCGGGAGGGGAGUGAAAUAGAACCUGAAAC